GACCGGUGGUUCGCUCUCAGCCCUUUGUGACAUACCUAUAACUGUUGCUUCGGCGGGUAGGGUCUCCGUGACCCUCCCGGCCUCCCGCCCCCGGGCGGGUCGGCGCCCGCCGGAGGAUAACCAAACUCUGAUUUAACGACGUUUCUUCUGAGUGGUACAAGCAAAUAAUCAAAACUUUUAACAACGGAUCUCUUGGUUCUGGCAUCGAUGAAGAACGCAGCGAAAUGCGAUAAGUAAUGUGAAUUGCAGAAUUCAGUGAAUCAUCGAAUCUUUGAACGCACAUUGCGCCCGCCAGCAUUCUGGCGGGCAUGCCUGUUCGAGCGUCAUUUCAACCCUCAAGCUCUGCUUGGUGUUGGGGCCCUACAGCUGAUGUAGGCCCUCAAAGGUAGUGGCGGACCCUCCCGGAGCCUCCUUUGCGUAGUAACUUUGCGUCUCGCACUGGGAUCCGGAGGGACUCUUGCCGUAAAACCCCCCAAUUUUCCAAAGGUUGACCUCGGAUCAGGUAGGAAUACCCGCUGAACUUAAGCAUAUCAAAUCCGGAAGAAAAGUAAUGAACCUAACACUCUACAACCCUUUUGUGAACAUACCUAUAACUGUUGCUUCGGCGGGUAGGGUCUCGUGACCC
Molecule: ribosomal RNA, 625 nt
Filed under: Colletotrichum sp. KUSBT3
Lineage: Eukaryota; Fungi; Ascomycota; Sordariomycetes; Glomerellales; Glomerellaceae
Description: eukaryotic LSU rRNA
Rfam family: 5.8S ribosomal RNA (bases 173-326)
Source: RNAcentral